GGGGCCCACAUUUUCCUUUUUGGCUGGACCCCAUAAAUCACAUAGCUGGUCCUGCGCAUCGUGACAUCCUUAGCUGGUGGUGCAGGGGCCUGCCACGCGGGGGACAGUUCAGCAGGUGCGUGGACUGUCAGGUGCCCACAGACGGCACGGAAAAGUGGUCAGAGGGAAGAAGAGAACCAGGCCCUAGCAGUACGGAGGACUCAGGAGGGGAGGGCUUCGGAGAGAACCCUGUGUGCCCCGCGUUCUGUGGCCUAGGCCGUGGUGAGGGUGCCUGAGUGUUUGCCCCUGGGGCUCAGGGUCCCACCGGUUGAGGCCUAGAUCCGCUGAAGGCCUGCUGUCCUCAGCCUGUCUCUGUUGCCCCUCAGCCCCUUCUAUUCUCUGACCCUGAAGAGCAAAGCGGGAUGUCUACACAGAGGCUGGUGUUUGUUUCCACACAGCCUGCUGGCACAUUUGCCUUGUCCUUCCGGCAGCUUCUUUCUCCAGAAAGCACUGCUGGGAUUGCCAGAUUAGCAUCGGAAUGGGGAGAGGGCCACUCCUACAAUAGCAAUCCCCUGUGGACGGAAGAGAGCCGGACAUCAAAUGAUGCCUUACCUUCCAACCCCGAGGCACACUCCGCCAGGCCAGCCGGCUCGGGCCCCUCCACAGCAGGCUUAGAGCUCUGGAACUUUCCCGGGGCCUUCUCAGCCAAGACAGCAGAUCUCCGUGGGGAAGAGGUCCUAAUAACUAAGAAAGUGUGAUCGGCCUGGCCUGCGAUGGUAAAUUCUCCCCCACCGACCCCGUCUCCGAUGGCCAUCACCACCACCACCGAUGGAGGAAAAGAAAAUACUCCACAGUGAGUGGGUUAAGUCCUUUCGGUUCAGACAGGGAGGUUAGGCAGAAGCCGGGAAAGUGUUGGUUCUCUUUUCUUGUUGAGAACUGAACCACAAGAAACGGUCUGAGACGGCCACCGGGAAGAUUCUGAUUAGUUGUGGCACAGGUUUCGAGAUGUCUGCAGAGACGAAACUGGAGUGAACGCGGCCUGUGUGAGAGCACUGAUCUUUGUGUAUAUGGUGGUGGGGGCGGGGGUCGUUGCAUCCCCGAUGCCCCAUCCAGUGCUGGGCCCUGGGGGUGUACGUAAGCAAGUGUCUGAGGUGACGCACGAAAGGUUCUUUAGAAUAUCCCAAGAGAGACGGGCCCCAUUUCCAAGAACCAGGCUAUCCAAAUAAAACUCCCAUCCAAAGUCCACUACCUCGUUUUAAAAGGAAGCUCUCAGUUCUUCAGUCCCGGGUCUUUGUGGCCUUAUGUGAAGCCCAGACCCCGCACAGUCACAGCCUAAAAAAUACAGCGGUAUUUUUACAGGAGACGCUCCCAGAAUGGGGCAAGACUCCACUUGUAACACAAAACCCGUGAGGAAACUUUACUUCUGUUGCCAAAUAGAGGUUCCCACUCAAAGGGAACCAGAACAGCCAAAGAGGUUUUGCAAGAAGCAAGCCCUCUGUUGAAACCGCUGCGGGGACGUCAGGAAACUCCGAGGAAUGGCUGAAAACAGAUUUGUUCCACUGAGAACACAGGGACUUGAGCAAGGCAAGUGAGACCGGGUGUGGGAACCUGGGCUUGUCAACAUUCUCAUUUCUAGCCUUCGUCACCGUGCGGGGCAGGGGACGACAAGAGGACAGACCCCCCCCACGUGGGACUAUGUCCUUGUGUGGCCUCCUUCCCUACCGUGAAGACAAAGCUAUACGGAUGGCAUCUGGAGAAUGAACAACCAGGAGCCAGGCGCGAAGCUGUUUGCUAGACACGGAGACACUCCCGUCCUCAGGUAACUAAUGCUGAGUGAACCACACACACACCGGGGAGCUGCAGACAUCUGGGAACUCAGUGGCUCCAGCACUGAAGCGUCCCCAGGGGAAUUGGAAGAGACGCAUGGUGUCCUCAGGACGGUACAGGCUGUGUGACUGCAUAUUCCCAGUAGAAACCUACACCUGUAUGUGUAUCACUCAGUCAAGUUCUGCUGGAAUGCCUUCUGUGAGCUGUGAAGAGCAAAACCAGUCCUUGUCCUCAACAAGCUUAUUCUUUAGUGUCUGUGGGCACAAACCUAUUACCUGUAAACAGUCAGAGGACAUGUAAGUAACAAAAUGUAUGCUGCUGACCAUAAAUGCACUAACUCAGAGAGAGAGAGAGAGCGCCUAGAAUCAAAGAAGAUUUUAGGAGGGGUGGGGCUGGUGUUGCCCCCACUGGGGGAGUGGGCUUGGAGUCUGCAGAGGGAGAUGUCUGCAGAGGAGGAUGUCUUAUAGGAGGAACAACAGCACGAGCAAAGCCACACCUCGGGCACUAGCCAGCAUCCAAGGAGAGCAGGAGACAGCCUGAAAGAACAGUGAUGGUAGAUGCAGGGGUGGGUAAUGUGGGGCUUCCACAGGGUGGAGACAAGGCAUUGGGGACUCCUAGUCUGCCUGAGUGGCUAGAACAAAAUACCAAGACUAUAAGACAUAAUAUCAACAUAUAAAAAUCAACUUUAUUUCUAUGUAUACUAGCAGUGACCACCUGGACACUGAAAUUAAAAAUAAAAUACCAUUUACAAUUGCUAAGAAAAAUAAUAACAAUACCUAGGUGUAAAACUAACAAAAUACACAUAGGACUUUUAUGAUAAAAACUGCUGAAAAAAAAUCAGAGAAGAUCUAAACACAUGUAAAGACAUACCAUGUUCAUGGAUUGGAAGACUCAACCUCUUAAAGAUGUCAAUUCUCCCCAAACUGACAGACAGGUUUAAAGCAGUUCCUAUCAAAAUCCCAGUAAGACUUCUGUAGAUAUGACAAGAUUAUUCCAAAAUUGGUAUCGAAAGGCAAAGAAACUACAAGAGCUAAACAAUUUUGAACAAGAAUCAUACAGUGCAGAAACACAACAAACGAACAAAGAAAAAAGUAGGCAAACCAAGAAACAGACUCUUAACUACAGAGCACAAACUGAUGGUUACCAGAGGGGAGGUGGGUAGGAGGAUGGGUGGAAUUAGUGAAGGGGAUGAAGAGAACACUUGUGAUGAUCACUGAGGAAUGAAUAGAAUUGUUGAAUCCCUACAUUGUACGCCUGAAGCUAAUGUAACACUGUAUGAUUCCUGUACUGGAAUUAAAUCUUUUUAAAUAAAAAAUUAAGAAUCAUCAAGUGGAAGACAACAGUACACCCAAUGUCAAUACUUGCUGUAGAGCUAUAGGAAUCAAGACAGCAGAGCAUUAUUGGCUGAGGGACAAACACAUAGAUCAAUGGAACUGAACAGAGAACCCAGAAAUGAACCCACAUGAAGAUACCUGAGUCAUAUUUCGAUUCACUGGAAGGCAGAGAGCUUUUUUAAAGAAAUGGUGCUGGUGCAAUUAGGUCAGAAAAAAAAUUACUUCAACCUAACCUAAGUCACACCUUAUACAAAAAUUAGCUCAAAAUGGAGCACAGACAUAAAAAAAAAAAAUCUUUGGGACCUAGGACUAGGCAAAGUGUUUCUGGAUUUGAUACCAAAAAUAUGAUCAAAAAAAAAGGAAAGAGUGAUACACCAGACUUCAUCAGAAUUAAAACCUUAUACUCCACAAAACACCCUGUUUAGAGAAUGAAAGUACAACCUAUAGACUAGGAGAAAACAUUUGCAAACCACCUAUUUGACAACGGACUACUCACUGUCUAGAAUAUAUAAGGAAUUCUCAAAAUGCAACAGUAAAAAAAAAAAAAAGAAGAAGAAGAAGAAAGUUCCAAUGAGAAAAUGACAAGCCAAAGAACCUGAGACAUUUCACUGAAGAAGAUCUACAAACAGAAAAUCAACUCAAGAAAAGGUUUUCAACAUCAUCAUUCAUUAGGGAAAUGCAAAGUAAAACCACAAUGAGGCUCACUGUCUCCAGAAUUAUUGAAACAAAAAACAAUAGCGAAACCAAAUGCUGGUGAUGAGGUGGGGAACUGGAUUACUCAUGCAUUACUGAUGGGGAUAGAAAAUGGUACAACCACUCUGGAAAGGAGUUUGACAUUUUCUUACACACACACACACACAAACUAAACGUGCAGUGAUCCAGUAAUUACACUCCUAGGCAUUUACCCCAGAGAAAGAAAAACUUAUAGUCACAUUAAAAAAAAAAAAAAUAGUAUACAGAUGCUUUACAGUUGCUUUAUUUGUAAUGGCCCCCGGCUGGAAACAAUCCAGACAUUCUUCAAUGGGGGAACCUCAAAUGGUGGUUCAUCCACACGUGGAAAAUUACUCAUCACGAAAAAAAAAAAAAAAGGAACUGCUCAUACACACAGUAACCUAGAUGAAUCUCCAAAGAAUUAUGCUGAGUGAAAAUAAUCUAAUCCCGAAAUGCCACGUGCCAUAUGAUUCCGUUUAGACAACGUCCUCGAAACGACACAGCUAUAGGAAUGGAGGACAGAUCGGUAGCUGCCAGGAGUUAAGGUAGAAAUGGGGGCUAACGUGGGCGUGGCUGUCAAAGGGCGUCAGGAGGGAUCCUGGCAAUGAUGGAGACAUUCUGGACCUUGUGUGCUAAUGUCAGUAUCUUGGUUGUGAUACUGGACUUCAGUUUUGCAAAAUAUUACCACGGGGAAAGUUGCUGAAGCGUGCACUGAAUCCCUCUCCAUUGUUUCUUAAAGUUACACAUGUGCUGCAAACUUGUAUAUUACGAGCUGAAAGUCUGGGUAGUCAACAGGCAAAUUUUACACUCAGGGUGCUGAGAAAUUACUCCCCGAAAGGGAAGCCACUCUUGGGCCGGUUACUUGCAGUCACAGGCAAUGCAGCCACAGACAAACGCACAAAUUCUGUCAUUUUACAGAUGUGCCGGAGGGUGGAAAAGGUGGAGAAGCUUUGAGUGAAGGCAUUGAGAAAAUCCUCACCCCCCAAAUGAAAAUAACGAAAUAGGAAAUGAAAUACAAUUACUUCUUUGAGAUUAAAGACCAGAAUGCAAUACAGUAUCUCAGUACUGUUCAGUACAGUAAAUCCAGUGAAACCAGGUUCUUUUUUCCUUUUUAAAUAUUGUUUUUUAAAUUUUAAAAUAAGCUUCAUGUCCAACGUGGGGCUCGAACUUACGACCCUUAGAUCAAGAGGCACAUGCUGUACUGGCUGAGCCAUCCAGGUGCCCCUAAAGCUGGAUUUCUAAGCCUCAACAUAUGGUCAGUAUUUAAUGUUAAUUUUAUGGAGAACUGUGUAAAUAUCUCCGAAAUAUGUGUUUUACUAGAAUCCAGCUAGGGAGAAAUAUUAAUAAAGUAGUUACUACAAAUUUUUUUAUUUUUAUUUUUUUAAGUUUAUUUAUUUAUCUUGAGAAAGAGAGACAGAGCGUGAGCAGGGGAAGGGCAGAGAGAGAGGGAGACACAGAAUCCGAAGCAGGCUCCAGGUUCUGAGCUGUCAGCACAGAGCCCGACACGGGGCUCGAACUCACGAACCACGAGAUCAUGACCUGAGCCAAAGUCGGACGCUUAACCGGUGGACGCUAAGCCACCCAGGUGCCCCAGGAUUUGGAUUAUUUUAAGUAGUUUAUUAUUUUUUUUAAAUGCUGAGAAUAACAUCCUGGUGUCCAUUUUUUUUGAGACACUAAUAAUAAUAAUAAUAAUAAUGUGCCCAUUUAAUGUGUAUCCUUUAGGGGUGCCUAGGUGGCUCAGUCGGUUGAGCUUCCAACUCUUGAUUUCGGCUCGGGUCAUGAUUUCAGUUUGUGAGUUCAAACCCCGCCUUGAGCCCUGUGCUGAUUGCAUGGAGCCUGCUUACUAUUCUUUCUAUUUCUCUUCUAUUUCUCUUGCUAUUUCUUUCUAGCCUUCCCUGCUCACAUGCAUGGGCUCUUUCUUUCAAAAUAAAUACAUAAACUUUUUUUUUAAGUGUGUCGUUAAAAAUAAGCAGUUGCUUAGGAAAAGCACAUCUGAUCAGAGACUAAAGAGAAAAAAGAUUAAUUAAUUAAAGUGUACAGGUUAAUGUUUGUUCGUGUGUUCACAGAGCCAUGAAACCAUCACCACGAUCCGAUUUUGGAACGUUUGGCAAUCAGUCUCCACCCCACUCACACACCCCCGCGCGCAUCCCCAGCCCUAAACAACCACUCACCGAUCGGCUUUCUGUUCUUAUCAAUUUGCCUCCAGAGACGAAUUCUGGACAUUUCAUAUCAAUGAAAUCAGAAACGUGUGGUCUCUUAGGACCGCUUGCUCUCACUUAGCACAACGUUUGCAAGGGUCAUCCGUGUGGCAGCGCGUGCUAGGACUUCAUUUCUACUUCUUGCUGGAUAACGUGCCAUCGUGCGGAUCUGUCACAGUUCGUUUAUCCCCUCGGCACCUGAUGGACAUUGGGUCGUCUUCACUUCGCGGCUAUUGUAAAUAGUGCUGCUAAAAACAUUCACGUAAUUUGUGUGCACAUGGAUGACGCUUUCGUUUUCUUGGGCUCGCACCUACGAGUGGACUUUCUGGGUCAUAUGGUGGGUAAUGCUAUGACUAACUUUAACCUGAUGCCCCUUAGUGAUUAUUUAAGAUCCCUCCUGUUAGGAAAAUAAUUGGUCAGAACAUAGGGGCCUCUUUGAGGAUUCUGAUGCAUGGUGACAAAUAACACGCCUCAAAAUUA
Molecule: long non-coding RNA, 6529 nt
Organism: Acinonyx jubatus (cheetah)
Lineage: Eukaryota; Metazoa; Chordata; Mammalia; Carnivora; Felidae
Exons: 3
Source: RefSeq, a predicted model, not a curated record